This 427-nucleotide ribosomal RNA is filed under the name Gemmatimonadota bacterium. RNAcentral describes it as "Gemmatimonadetes bacterium partial 16S ribosomal RNA". It matches the Rfam family "Bacterial small subunit ribosomal RNA", at positions 355 to 776 of the family's 1533-position model. The record is from RNAcentral. Lineage: Bacteria; Pseudomonadati; Gemmatimonadota.
UAGGGAAUCUUCGGCAAUGGACGAAAGUCUGACCGAGCAACGCCGCGUGAGUGAAGAAGGUUUUCGGAUCGUAAAACUCUGUUGUUAGAGAAGAACAAGGACGUUAGUAACUGAACGUCCCCUGACGGUAUCUAACCAGAAAGCCACGGCUAACUACGUGCCAGCAGCCGCGGUAAUACGUAGGUGGCAAGCGUUGUCCGGAUUUAUUGGGCGUAAAGCGAGCGCAGGCGGUUUCUUAAGUCUGAUGUGAAAGCCCCCGGCUCAACCGGGGAGGGUCAUUGGAAACUGAGACUUGAGUGCAGAAGAGGAGAGUGGAAUUCCAUGUGUAGCGGUGAAAUGCGUAGAUAUAUGGAGGAACACCAGUGGCGAAGGCGGCUCUCUGGUCUGUAACUGACGCUGAGGCUCGAAAGCGUGGGGAGCAAACAGG